UACGGAGGGUGCAAGCGUUAUCCGGAUUCACUGGGUUUAAAGGGUGCGUAGGCGGGCAGGUAAGUCCGUGGUGAAAUCCCCGAGCUUAACUCGGGAACUGCCAUGGAUACUAUUUGUCUUGAAUAUUGUGGAGAUAAGCGGAAUAUGUCAUGUAGCGGUGAAAUGCUUAGAUAUGACAUAGAACACCAAUUGCGCAGGCAGCUUACUACACAGUAAUUGACACUGAGGCACGAAAGCGUGGGGAUCAAACAGG
RNAcentral lists this ribosomal RNA (253 nucleotides) under uncultured bacterium. RNAcentral describes it as "partial 16S ribosomal RNA". It matches the Rfam family "Bacterial small subunit ribosomal RNA", at positions 524 to 776 of the family's 1533-position model. The record is from RNAcentral.